RNAcentral lists this ribosomal RNA (265 nucleotides) under uncultured bacterium. RNAcentral describes it as "partial 16S ribosomal RNA". It matches the Rfam family "Bacterial small subunit ribosomal RNA", at positions 793 to 1055 of the family's 1533-position model. The record is from RNAcentral.
GUCCACGCCGUAAACGAUGGGCACUAGAUGCCGGGCCUAUAGACGGGUUCGGUGUCGCAGCUAACGCAUUAAGUGCCCCGCCUGGGGAGUACGGCCGCAAGGCUGAAACUCAAAGGAAUUGACGGGGGCCCGCACAAGCGGUGGAGCAUGUGGUUUAAUUCGAAGCAACGCGAAGAACCUUACCUGGGCUUGACAUACAAGUGAAAGCUCCUGGAAACAGGAGCCCUCCUUCGGGACGCUUGUACAGGUGCUGCAUGGCUGUCGU